RNAcentral lists this ribosomal RNA (1262 nucleotides) under metagenome. Its description in RNAcentral is "bacterial SSU rRNA". It matches the Rfam family "Bacterial small subunit ribosomal RNA", at positions 243 to 1520 of the family's 1533-position model. The record is from RNAcentral.
AGCUAGUUGGUGGGGUAAAAGCCUACCAAGGCAGCGAUCAGUAGCUGGUCUGAGAGGAUGAGCAGCCACACUGGGACUGAGACACGGCCCAGACUCCUACGGGAGGCAGCAGUGGGGAAUUUUCCGCAAUGGGCGAAAGCCUGACGGAGCAAUACCGCGUGAGGGAGGAAGGCCUUUGGGUUGUAAACCUCUUUUCUCAGGGAAGAAGAUCUGACGGUACCUGAGGAAUAAGCAUCGGCUAACUCCGUGCCAGCAGCCGCGGUAAUACGGAGGAUGCAAGCGUUAUCCGGAAUCAUUGGGCGUAAAGCGUCCGCAGGUGGUUUUUCAAGUCUGCUGUUAAAGACUGGAGCUCAACUCCGGAAAGGCAGUGGAAACUGAGAAACUAGAGUUCGGUAGGGGUAGCGGGAAUUCCCAGUGUAGCGGUGAAAUGCGUAGAUAUUGGGAAGAACAUCGGUGGCGAAGGCGCGCUACUGGACCGAAACUGACACUCAGGGACGAAAGCUAGGGGAGCGAAAGGGAUUAGAUACCCCUGUAGUCCUAGCUGUAAACGAUGGAAACUAGGUGUGGCUUGUAUCGACCCGAGCCGUGCCGUAGCUAACGCGUUAAGUUUCCCGCCUGGGGAGUACGCACGCAAGUGUGAAACUCAAAGGAAUUGACGGGGGCCCGCACAAGCGGUGGAGUAUGUGGUUUAAUUCGAUGCAACGCGAAGAACCUUACCAGGGCUUGACAUGUCGCGAAUCUCCUUGAAAGGGGAGAGUGCCUUCGGGAGCGCGAACACAGGUGUGCAUGGCUGUCGUCAGCUCGUGUCGUGAGAUGUUGGGUUAAGUCCCGCAACGAGCGCAACCCUCGUCUUUAGUUGCCAGCAUUAAGGUGGGCACUUUAGAGAGACUGCCGGUGACAAACCGGAGGAAGGUGGGGAUGACGUCAAGUCAGCAUGCCCCUUACGCCCUGGGCUACACACGUACUACAAUGGUUGGGACAAAGGGCAGCGACCCCGCGAGGGAAAGCGAAUCUCAUCAAACCCAGCCUCAGUUCAGAUUGCAGGCUGCAACUCGCCUGCAUGAAGGAGGAAUCGCUAGUAAUCGCAGGUCAGCAUACUGCGGUGAAUUCGUUCCCGGGCCUUGUACACACCGCCCGUCACACCAUGGAAGCUGGUCACGCCCGAAGUAGUUACCCUAACCUUUCGGGGGGGGGACUCCUAAGGCAGGGCUAGUGACUGGGGUGAAGUCGUAACAAGGUAGCCGUACCGGAAGGUGUGGCUG